Molecule: ribosomal RNA, 907 nt
Filed under: Enterococcus faecium
Lineage: Bacteria; Bacillati; Bacillota; Bacilli; Lactobacillales; Enterococcaceae
Description: bacterial SSU rRNA
Rfam family: Bacterial small subunit ribosomal RNA
Source: RNAcentral
UAAUAAAAAAAAAAAGUUACCCCCGCAGACGAACGCUGGCGGCGUGCCUAAUACAUGCAAGUCGUACGCUUCUUUUUCCACCGGAGCUUGCUCCACCGGAAAAAGAGGAGUGGCGAACGGGUGAGUAACACGUGGGUAACCUGCCCAUCAGAAGGGGAUAACACUUGGAAACAGGUGCUAAUACCGUAUAACAAUCGAAACCGCAUGGUUUUGAUUUGAAAGGCGCUUUCGGGUGUCGCUGAUGGAUGGACCCGCGGUGCAUUAGCUAGUUGGUGAGGUAACGGCUCACCAAGGCCACGAUGCAUAGCCGACCUGAGAGGGUGAUCGGCCACAUUGGGACUGAGACACGGCCCAAACUCCUACGGGAGGCAGCAGUAGGGAAUCUUCGGCAAUGGACGAAAGUCUGACCGAGCAACGCCGCGUGAGUGAAGAAGGUUUUCGGAUCGUAAAACUCUGUUGUUAGAGAAGAAUAAGGAUGAGAGUAACUGUUCAUCCCUUGACGGUAUCUAACCAGAAAGCCACGGCUAACUACGUGCCAGCAGCCGCGGUAAUACGUAGGUGGCAAGCGUUGUCCGGAUUUAUUGGGCGUAAAGCGAGCGCAGGCGGUUUCUUAAGUCUGAUGUGAAAGCCCCCGGCUCAACCGGGGAGGGUCAUUGGAAACUGGGAGACUUGAGUGCAGAAGAGGAGAGUGGAAUUCCAUGUGUAGCGGUGAAAUGCGUAGAUAUAUGGAGGAACACCAGUGGCGAAGGCGGCUCUCUGGUCUGUAACUGACGCUGAGGCUCGAAAGCGUGGGGAGCAAACAGGAUUAGAUACCCUGGUAGUCCACGCCGUAAACGAUGAGUGCUAAGUGUUGGAGGGUUUCCGCCCUUCAGUGCUGCAGCUAACGCAUUAAGCACUCCGCCUGGAG